RNAcentral lists this ribosomal RNA (253 nucleotides) under uncultured bacterium. RNAcentral describes it as "partial 16S ribosomal RNA". It matches the Rfam family "Bacterial small subunit ribosomal RNA", at positions 524 to 776 of the family's 1533-position model. The record is from RNAcentral.
UACGGGGGGGGCAAGCGUUGUUCGGAAUUACUGGGCGUAAAGGGCGCGUAGGCGGUGCGGUAAGUCUGCGGUGAAAUCUCCCGGCUCAACUGGGAGUCUGCCGUGGAAACUGCCGUGCUUGAGUGUGGGAGAGGUGAGUGGAAUUCCUGGUGUAGCGGUGAAAUGCGUAGAUAUCAGGAGGAACACCGGUGGCGAAGGCGGCUUUCUGGACAGAUACCGACGCUGAGACACGAAAGCGUGGGGAGCGAACAGG